GCGCGAUAAUUUGCCUCCUAAUUAGAGGCUGGUAUGAAAGGACACACGAGGUUGCUACUGUCUCUUGAGUAGCGUGUAAAAAUUAGGCUUUAGGUGAAGACACCUAAAUCAGUUUAAAAGACAAGAAGACCCCGUUGAGCUUUAGGAUUUAUCCGAUGUCAUUUCGUUCUGUGACGGCGUGGGCUUUGGUUGGGGCAACAGAGGUCCAUCUGAAGCGGCCCUUAUUUUUUUGGGUUGUCCGACCGGAGUAAAAGUGACUCAUAGUGGGAUGAUGGCCGUGUUUAUUAGCGCCCGUGGGGACUAGUAUUCGUUCAUUAUGUAGACGUAUUAAGCAACGAGAGGAAGAGCUACCACGGGGAUAACAGACUAAUCUAUUCGAAGAGUUCACAUUGAUGAAUGGGUUUGGCACCUCGAUGUUGGCUCAGGGUUUCCCGCAGGUGCAGGGGCCUGCAAGGGUAGGUUUGUUCACCCUCUAACACCCCU
This 483-nucleotide ribosomal RNA is filed under the name Capitellidae environmental sample. Its description in RNAcentral is "partial large subunit ribosomal RNA". It matches the Rfam family "Bacterial large subunit ribosomal RNA", at positions 1959 to 2598 of the family's 2925-position model. The record is from RNAcentral. Lineage: Eukaryota; Metazoa; Annelida; Polychaeta; Capitellidae.